UUGAUGGUUUUAGCUCCCUCGUCGAAGAUCAACUGACCAUAGGCAACCCAUUGGAAAGCUCAUCCAACCGUUCAAAGAGCUCUUAACCAAAAGGUUGAUAACCCCUGCUCUGGAUAGUCAGUGUUCAUGACAUCUCUAGCCCUUAUAGCUUCAGUACAGCUCAAGAUAGCAUCUUAACCGUGGCAGCACUUCUUUCUCUAAGAUGGAAAACCCAACCAACGGAGCACCCAGUUUUUAGAACUAAAAGUAAUGAGGAUGUUCGGAGGUAAGUUGUCUGCUUUAUGUGUUUCCAUGAACAGGACAUGAAAACUUGGUAAACUUGACUGUUUCCCUAAGGCACAGGUCUUUCAGGUCUUUUUCUUCCUUCACUGAAAAUGGAGACCUGGCACAUGUUCUGCCUCAGAUGAUUGUGAUGAAUUAAAUUGACAAUUUUUCAAUAGUCUAAUUUGUCUUCUUUACAAAUAAGACAUUAGUUCUUAUUUCCCUAAUAAUCAGGUGUGUAACAACUAAACAGUAAACAUCCUAGAAUCAAAAGAAAACAUAAAUUUUUCAACAUGGAGAAACCCAAUAAUAACCUCUUGGGGGGAUCUGUUUUGUCUCAUGUCCUUGGCCAGAUAAUUUUGGACAUAUUGUCUCUUAGCUCUGCAAUUGGCUUGCACA
Molecule: long non-coding RNA, 660 nt
Filed under: Mus musculus (house mouse)
Lineage: Eukaryota; Metazoa; Chordata; Mammalia; Rodentia; Muridae
Description: predicted gene, 37853
Source: RNAcentral